UGGGGGAUAUUGCACAAUGGGCGAAAGCCUGAUGCAGCGACGCCGCGUGGGGGAUGAAGGCUUUCGGGUUGUAAACCUCUUUCGCGAUCGAACAAGGCCCGCUUAGGGUGGGUUGAGGGUAGGUGGAGAAGAAGCGCCGGCUAACUACGUGCCAGCAGCCGCGGUAGUACGUAGGGCGCGAGCGUUGUCCGGAAUUAUUGGGCGUGAAGGGCUUGUAGGCGGCUUGUUGCGCCUGCUGUGAAAACGCGGGGCUUAACUUCGCGCGUGCAGUGGGUACGGGCAGGCUUGAGUGUGGUAGGGGUGACUGGAAUUCCAGGUGUAGCGGUGGAAUACGCAGAUAUCUGGAGGAACACCGAUGGCGAAGGCAGGUCACUGGGCCAUUACUGACGCUGAGGAGCGAAAGCAUGGGUAGCGAACAGG
RNAcentral lists this ribosomal RNA (420 nucleotides) under bacterium. RNAcentral's name for it is "partial 16S ribosomal RNA". It matches the Rfam family "Bacterial small subunit ribosomal RNA", at positions 355 to 776 of the family's 1533-position model. The record is from RNAcentral.